Molecule: ribosomal RNA, 1073 nt
Filed under: uncultured organism
Description: bacterial SSU rRNA
Rfam family: Bacterial small subunit ribosomal RNA
Source: RNAcentral
CUAAUACAUGCAAGUCGAACGGUAACAGGUUCUAAAGCAAUUUAGAAUGCUGACGAGUGGCAAACGGGUGAGUAAUACAUAUGAACUUUCUCUAAGAAGAGGAUAGCCAGUCGAAAGAUUGGGUAAUACUCUAUAUGGCCGAAAGGUUAAAGUUUAAUACGCUUAGAGUGAGGCAUAUGCCCCAUCAGCUAGUUGGUAAGGUAAUGGCUUACCAAGGCUAAGACGGGUAGCUGGACUGAGAGGUUGAUCAGCCACACUGGGACUGCGACACGGCCCAGACAUCUACGGAUGGCAGCAGUAGGGAAUUUUCCGCAAUGGGCGAAAGCCUGACGGAGCCAUGCCGCGUGCAGGAUGACGGCCCUAUGGGUUGUAAACUGCUGUGGUAGCCUACCAAAAAAAUGAGGAGGCUAUUAGAAAGAGGUUGCUAACUCUGUGCCAGCAGCAGCGGUAAUACAGAGACCUCGAGCGUUAUCCGGUAUCACUGGGCGUAAAGCGUACCGAUCGGUUGUUUAGUGUGUCUAAAGUGAAAGGCCGAAGCCUAACUUCGUGUUUGCUUUAGAAACUACUAAACUUGAAGGGCAAAGAGGUGGUUGGAACUCUGCAAGUAGGGGUGAAAUCCGUUGAUAUGCAGGGGAACACCAAAAGCGAAGGCAGACCACUAGGUGCCUCUUGACACUGCUAGGACGAAAGCGUGGGGAGAGAACGGGAUUAGAUACCCCGGUAUUCCACGCCCUAAACGAUGAGUGCUAGUUUUUGGGGAAAGUCAAUCUUCCUCGGAGACAAAGCUAACGCAUUAAGCACUCCGCCUGUAGAGUACGAGCGCAAGCUUAAAACAUAAAGGAAUUGACGGGAACCCGCACAAACGGUGGAUCAUGUGGCUUAAUUCGAUAAUAAGCGAGGAACCUCACCUAGGUUUGACAUGCAACUGCACGACUAAUGAAAGUUAGUUUCUUUCGAAGGUGUUGCACAGAUGAUGCACGGUCGUCGUCAGCUCGUGUCGUGAGAUGUUCGGUUAAGUCCGGUAACGAGCGCAACCCCAAUCCUUAGUUAUUUAAUGUCUAAGGAGACUGCCC